UGUAUUGACCAAAAAAGUUCCAGCUAAUACUCCUAUAGAUUUUCUUGGAUACGUGGUUGUGUCUUAUCCUAUUGAGGAUGUGGAUAAAAAGGAUGGCACUAAAACCAAACGAAUGAACCUAACUCUCAAAGAUCUCCAUGAUACCAAGAUUAGUCUUACAUUAUGGGAAAACUAUGCAAUCGAGAUGUCCGAUUACAUGAAUGGUAAGGACCGCGAAGAUCAUGUGGUUCUUCUUGUGCAUUUUGGCACGGUAAACAUCU
Molecule: long non-coding RNA, 260 nt
Organism: Helianthus annuus (common sunflower)
Lineage: Eukaryota; Viridiplantae; Streptophyta; Magnoliopsida; Asterales; Asteraceae
Exons: 3
Source: RefSeq, a predicted model, not a curated record